CCUACGGGAGGCAGCAGUGGGGAAUAUUGGGCAAUGGGCGCAAGCCUGACCCAGCCACGCCGCGUGAAGGAAGAAGGCUCUCGGGUUGUUAACUUCUUUUGUCAGGGAAGAGUAGAAGACGGUACCUGACGAAUAAGCCACGGCCAACUACGUGCCAGCAGCCGCGGUAAUACGUAGGUGGCAAGCGUUGUCCGGAUUUACUGGGUGUAAAGGGCGUGUAGGCGGGUUGACAAGUCAGUUGUGAAUUCCUGGGGCUUAACCGAAGAACUGCAUUUGAAAUUGUUGAUCUUGAGUACUGGAGAGGCAGACGGAAUUCCUGGUGUAGCGGUGAAAUGCAUAGAUAUUAGGAGGAACACCAGUGGCGAAGGCGGUUGGCUGGACAGCAACUGACGGUGAGGCGCGAAAGCGUGGGGAGCAAACAGGAUUAGAUACCCGGGUAGUC
This 442-nucleotide ribosomal RNA is filed under the name uncultured bacterium. Its description in RNAcentral is "partial 16S ribosomal RNA". It matches the Rfam family "Bacterial small subunit ribosomal RNA", at positions 338 to 795 of the family's 1533-position model. The record is from RNAcentral.